Pan troglodytes (chimpanzee) is the source of this 1075-nucleotide long non-coding RNA. RefSeq lists it as uncharacterized. The record is from RefSeq and is a predicted model, not a curated record. NCBI's taxonomy places the organism in Eukaryota, Metazoa, Chordata, Mammalia, Primates, Hominidae. The transcript is spliced from 6 exons.
AUUGUUUCAGAUGGUAAUCCAAUGUAUAAGCAAUGGACUGUUUUAUUCUUGGUGCUUUCAAGACCUGAUGCUUUGUUUUGAACAGGUUGAUACAUCUAGUAAGAAGACUUUCACCAGGUGCUGGUGCCAUGUUCUUGGACUUCCCAGUCUCCCAAACCAUAAGCCAAGAGUGAAAUACAUCACCACUUUCCCUGCUCCCGCCGCCAUUAAAAUUGUGUUUGGCAUCUGACCACCAAGAUACAGAUAUUUCCUAGACUGUUUUGCAGCUAGGUACUUAGCAUUUCUCUUUCCUCUGGAGAAAAAUAUCUGCUUUCUUUAAAAUAAAUGUUCCAUCCAUGCAGCUAAGCAGCUAAGGACACGAACAGCCACUGAUACAGGUCAACUCAUCAGUAGAUUAUUGAGGAAUCAUUCUCUUCAGUCAGAUCACGAUUUGAGUUUGAACUAACCAGAGAGUAGCAGAAGGAACGUUUUCUCAUUUCCAUGUCCAGAAAGAUAUAUUCCUGCUACCCUCCUGAAGUCAGAGGAUGAAAUCAUAGUCAAUACAUCUUUGCAGAUAAACUAUUAGAUUUCAUACUAGGACCUUUCAUUGGCUGAACAAAGACAAAGACAGAAAUCAAGGAAGGUCAAAGAAGCAGUCAGUUUUCUGGCACCCAAAGUUGUUGGAGAAGGGUACAGAGUCGGUAAAUAAGUCAUAUGACAGACAGGCAGUAUUUUCUUAUUUUAAUAACAAGUUUAAAAAUCCCACUUCUUGUACUUACCUUCUGUCUGACGCCAUCAGUAUUUUAAGAUGCCAACUGGGAUCAAGUUCAACACUGCAUUACUGAAGAAUCCAGAUUAUCUACAUUUCACGUGCCAAAUGAAAGAAAGAACCCAGAAAAUAAAACAAUAUGAUGAUAACAGUAAAAUUUUUAAAAAUGAAGUUUAUGGUCUAAAUCCUGAUCAUUAAUGGUUAUUUCAUAUUGAAGCAAUGAGGCCUGUUCUUCAUUCUGAACAUAGGGUAAAGGUGAAAUCUAUUCACAUAUUUAUUUAUUUAGCCAAUUUAUACAUAUAGUGAAUUUUAAUUAUAACUUAAUAG